Mustela erminea (ermine) is the source of this 309-nucleotide long non-coding RNA. RefSeq lists it as uncharacterized. The transcript is spliced from 3 exons. NCBI's taxonomy places the organism in Eukaryota, Metazoa, Chordata, Mammalia, Carnivora, Mustelidae. The record is from RefSeq and is a predicted model, not a curated record.
GGGACACAGUUCAACCCAUAACAAUCUUCUGUUCAGGAUAACAACAGAUCCCUUUGAUAACUAAGCCAGAUUGUUCAUGUUCUUUGAACUUGGUUGAAAAAAAAUGUUUAUAUUUCAACCUGCUGAGCUGCUCACAUUUAAAAGAGAAUAAGUGGCUUCUUCAAAUCAAGACACCCAGGGCAGCGGAGACUUGCCUCACGAACAAUGGCUGAGAGAGACACCUGGCUGCGGGCGCAUCAAGUAGCUGCAUUGUUAAGCCUGCUGAAUUGUGGAGAAUGCGCGUUCAGCAAAUCACAGUUCCUAAAAAGU